AACGCGAAGAACCUUACCUGGGCUCGAAAUGUAGUGGACCGGGGUAGAAAUAUCCCUUCCUAGCAAUAGGCUGCUAUAUAGGUGCUGCAUGGCUGUCGUCAGCUCGUGUCGUGAGAUGUUGGGUUAAGUCCCGCAACGAGCGCAACCCUUAUUACCAGUUGCUACCAUUUAGUUGAGCACUCUGGUGAGACCGCCUCGGAUAACGGGGAGGAAGGCGGGGAUGACGUCAAGUCCUCAUGGCCUUUAUGUCCAGGGCUACACACGUGCUACAAUGGCCGGUACAAACCGUCGCAAACCCGCGAGGGGGAGCUAAUCGGAAAAAGCCGGCCUCAGUUCGGAUUAGAGUCUGCAACUCGACUCUAUGAAGCUGGAAUCGCUAGUAAUCGCGGAUCAGAAUGCCGCGGUGAAUACGUUCCCGGGCCUUGUACACACCGCUGUA
Molecule: ribosomal RNA, 439 nt
Filed under: uncultured bacterium
Lineage: Bacteria
Description: bacterial SSU rRNA
Rfam family: Bacterial small subunit ribosomal RNA
Source: RNAcentral